UCCCUGCUGUCGCCAUCCCUGAGGCC
Molecule: non-coding RNA, 26 nt
Filed under: Homo sapiens (human)
Lineage: Eukaryota; Metazoa; Chordata; Mammalia; Primates; Hominidae
Source: RNAcentral